AAGUCGUAACAAGGUUUCCUUCACCUAUUGAAGCCUUCAGCAGCGACUGUAAAAAAAAUGCGUAGUUUGCUUGCAAGCAAUGCCACUCAAAUGCUGAGACAUAUGAAUCAGCAGCCUUCUAGGCUCACAGAUCAAAUUGUGGUAACCAUUUUCAUGGGCAAGAUAUGACCGGUCUUAACUAGAGUUAGUUAAGAAUCCACGUUCCGUAGGUGAACCUGCGGAAGGAUCAUUAAUGAAACUUCAAAGUCGGCUUUUGUUGUUCUGUGCUGGUGGAGAGAUUCACAUGUGCACGUCGACAAG
This 300-nucleotide unclassified non-coding RNA is filed under the name Lecanoromycetes sp. RNAcentral describes it as "partial contains small subunit ribosomal RNA and internal transcribed spacer 1". The record is from RNAcentral. Lineage: Eukaryota; Fungi; Ascomycota; Lecanoromycetes.